Molecule: ribosomal RNA, 324 nt
Filed under: uncultured eukaryote
Lineage: Eukaryota
Description: partial 18S ribosomal RNA
Rfam family: Eukaryotic small subunit ribosomal RNA
Source: RNAcentral
CCCUUAGAUGUUCUGGGCUGCACGCGCGCUACACUGAAGCUAUCAACACGUUUUCCCUCCCUGAGAAGGGCGGGUAACCUUUUGAAUCAGCUUCGUGGUAGGGAUCGGGGCUUGCAAUUGUUCCCCGUGAACCAGGAAUUCCUAGUAGACGCGAGUCAUAAGCUCGCAUCGAUUAAGUCCCUGCCCUUUGUACACACCGCCCGUCGCUACUACCGAUUGAACGUUUUAGUGAGGCAUUUGGACCGACGCAUCUCAGUUUAACCGCUGGUUUGUGUUGGAAAGACUUCCAAACUUGAGCGUUUAGAGGAAGUAAAAGUCAUAACA